CCUACGGGUGGCAGCAGUGAGGAAUAUUGGUCAAUGGACGAGAGUCUGAACCAGCCAAGUAGCGUGAAGGAUGACUGCCCUAUGGGUUGUAAACUUCUUUUAUAUGGGAAUAAAAUGUUCCACGUGUGGGAUUUUGUAUGUACCAUAUGAAUAAGGAUCGGCUAACUCCGUGCCAGCAGCCGCGGUAAUACGGAGGAUCCGAGCGUUAACCGGAUUUAUUGGGUUUAAAGGGAGCGUAGGUGGAUUGUUAAGUCAGUUGUGAAAGUUUGCGGCUCAACCGUAAAAUUGCAGUUGAAACUGGCAGUCUUGAGUACAGUAGAGGUGGGCGGAAGUCGUGGUGUAGCGGUGAAAUGCUUAGAUAGCACGAAGAACUCCGAUUGCGAAAGCAGUUCACUGGACUGCAACUGACACUGAGGCUCGAAAGUGUGGGUAUCAAACAGGAUUAGAUACCCUUGUAGUC
RNAcentral lists this ribosomal RNA (460 nucleotides) under uncultured bacterium. Its description in RNAcentral is "partial 16S ribosomal RNA". It matches the Rfam family "Bacterial small subunit ribosomal RNA", at positions 338 to 795 of the family's 1533-position model. The record is from RNAcentral.